RNAcentral lists this ribosomal RNA (513 nucleotides) under uncultured bacterium. RNAcentral's name for it is "partial 16S ribosomal RNA". It matches the Rfam family "Bacterial small subunit ribosomal RNA", at positions 28 to 507 of the family's 1533-position model. The record is from RNAcentral.
GACGAACGCUGGCGGCGUGCUUAACACAUGCAAGUCGGACGAGAGCGUAGAGAAAGCUUGCUUUUUCUACAAUCUAGUGGCAAACGGGUGAGUAACGCGUAAACAACCUGCCCUACGGAUGGGGACAACAGCUGGAAACGGCUGCUAAUACCGAAUACGUUCCGAAAGUCGCAUGACUAUCGGAAGAAAGGAUGGCCUCUAUUUAUAAGCUAUCGCCGGAGGAGGGGUUUGCGUCUGAUUAGCUAGUUGGAGGGGUAACGGCCCACCAAGGCGACGAUCAGUAGCCGGUCUGAGAGGAUGAACGGCCACAUUGGAACUGAGACACGGUCCAGACUCCUACGGGAGGCAGCAGUGGGGAAUCUUCCGCAAUGGGCGAAAGCCUGGCGGAGCAACGCCGCGUGAGUGAAGACGGCCUUCGGGUUGUAAAGCUCUGUUAUACGGGACGAAUAAUCUUGUGGUUAAUACCCAUGAGAAGUGACGGUACCGUAAGAGAAAGCCACGGCUAACUACGUG